CUUUAUUACAAACGAUUCAGUUUUAUAAUGUCCUACUUUGCUAUACCGCAAUUUAUCUACAACUUUCNNNNNUCAGCAACGGAUCUCUUGGCUCUCGCAUCGAUGAAGAGCGCAGCGAAAUGCGAUAAGUAAUGUGAAUUGCAGAAUUCAGUGAAUCAUCGAAUCUUUGAACGCACCUUGCGCUCC
This 186-nucleotide ribosomal RNA is filed under the name basidiomycete sp. B1/2/2/3/A2. RNAcentral's name for it is "5.8S ribosomal RNA". The stretch from base 68 to 186 matches the Rfam family "5.8S ribosomal RNA", at positions 1 to 119 of the family's 154-position model. Rfam says of the family: 5.8S ribosomal RNA (5.8S rRNA) is a component of the large subunit of the eukaryotic ribosome. It is transcribed by RNA polymerase I as part of the 45S precursor that also contains 18S and 28S rRNA. Functionally, it is thought that 5.8S rRNA may be involved in ribosome translocation. Lineage: Eukaryota; Fungi; Basidiomycota. The record is from RNAcentral.